RNAcentral lists this long non-coding RNA (2045 nucleotides) under Homo sapiens (human). RNAcentral's name for it is "LYPLAL1 divergent transcript". Lineage: Eukaryota; Metazoa; Chordata; Mammalia; Primates; Hominidae. The record is from RNAcentral.
UAGUUUUGCUAAUAAUGGUAUUCUACGUGUGUCAGCCUCGUGUGGACUUCUGUAAUGACUAAUGGAUAUGUUUAUAUCCUGAGCAUUUGCUGUAGGAAUUUUAAAUGCAAUCCCAAAACUCAAGAUUACCUUAUUUGGAGAAAUAUUCGUGUUACUAUGUUUAAAAUUUAAUAGAACCAUAUUUUACCUUUCACUUUGGGACUCGCACAGGAUGUUUGCAGCUCUUGAUAUACAGGAACUAGAACGUGUCUUUUAAGAGCAUGCGGUUUUAUAAUUACGUGGAAGUAUGCUACGCAAGGGAAAAAAGCCUCUUGCUAGUGUUAAGGGUCUUCAUAAACAGAAACCGCAAGGAACCUGGGAUCUGACAGCUGUUGGAGGAAUGCCUGUGAGGAAGGAGGAGGAACAGAAGAAUGCUUUGAUGUCUUAAAUGGUACAUCCAAACUUAAGUGAAAUAGAGCUGUGAGGACAUUUUGGGGAGAAGUGACCUAGAUAAGCACUGACUGUUGCAUUCAUCUCUCUUCUUGCUGAUUGUGAUGAUUUCCUGUGCCAUAGCCAUUCAAAGUCUGCCAAAAAAGGCCUUGCCUCCUGGAUGGCAUUUUUGAACCCACCCUGGGCCAGAGGGGAGCCCACUUCUUUGAAGACAGAAACACAGGACUGGCAACAUUUACCAUAAGCUGACUGAGCAGCCAUUGGGCCUUGAGUGAACAUUGGUGGUAGCCAGGCAGUACUUGUCUCAGUACUUGCCUCAGGCCUGGGGUGUCGGUGACCACAGGGAGAGCAUCCAUCUGCUUGAGGAAAGGAGAACAAAGAAAAUAAAGGGCUUAAUCUUGCACUUGAUUGCCAGCUCAGCCAUAGUAGAAUACAGCACCAAGUAAAUUCCUAAGGAUCCUGAUUCCAGGUCCUGGCUCCCAGAUGACAUUUUAGGACUUGUCUUGGGCUUAGGGGGAGCUCGUCAUACUGAAGGGAAAAACACAAGCCUGGCUGGAUUUGCCACCAGCUGAAUAAAGAGUGCUUGGGCCUUGAGUGAACAUUGGCAAUAGCCAAGGAGUGGUCACCAUGGACCUUAGGCAAGAAACCCGGUGCCGUGCUGGCUUUGGAUCUGACCCAGCAUAAUCUCACUGCUAGCAUGUAAUUUUCUUUCUCUACUUCUCUACAUUUGGAGGAUGGAAAUGUAGAUGUUCUUCCAUUGUGCCAGCCUCCUCAUUCUUCUUUCUCCAAUGCCGCAUCUUCCUGCAAACUUCCUGCCACAACUCAAACAACAGGAAAAUAAAUGAUCUGAAAUCCUCCUGAACUGCAGCCUACCUAUCGUGGUCUCUAUGGGUGCAAACUUCCUUCCAGAAGCUUGUUCAGCUGGCUAAAACAGGACAUUUGCCAAUGCAGCCAAAAGUUGGGUCUUAUACUGGCUACCUCCUAUGCAGAGUGAAAAACUUUUCUUUCUCCCACAGCCACAGACAUCGCUCCUCUUCCAGCUCAACAUCUUUCAAAGGGAUGGCUCUCAGUCCCGAAAUGAAAAGAAAAGGUGGCUUGGUGCAAAUCAUUCUCUUUAUCAGCAAAAGAAAUACCAAAGCCUGUGUCCUUCUGACAUAGUGAGCUGUCGAGGUAGUCCAGGGAAAAGAUGACAGUGAAUUGAGUUAUGGGAUGGCAAUGGAGACUGAAAAGAAUCUGUGUUUAUUAUAUGUAUAUAUAUCAUUAAGGUAGAACUAGUGGAUUUUCUCUGGCACUGCACAUGGGAAGCAAGUGAAGGAGAGUGAUCUAGAAUGACGCCACCAUUUUUGCCUGAGAAAUUCAGUACUCAGAGGUGUCUGUCAUUCAGAGAGAUGGAGGAAACAAGAAGAGGAGCAAGUUGGGGGAGAGGGUAAGCAGAAUCAAAAACUGUGUUGAUACAUUAACUUUAGGAUGCAUAGUAGACAUCAGAGUACAGAUGGAGUUUAGGAGCAAAGUUAUAUAGAGAGAUAAAUUUGAGAACCUGUAAUUCUUUUAUUUGUGGCAGAUAAUUAGACAAAUGAUUUCUAAAUAUUCCCAUGACUACUACAGAACAUCAAUAA